Non-coding RNA from Ornithorhynchus anatinus (platypus), 138 nucleotides. NCBI's taxonomy places the organism in Eukaryota, Metazoa, Chordata, Mammalia, Monotremata, Ornithorhynchidae. The record is from Rfam.
CCCCUCUCGGGGUCAUACCUGGAGAGUUUCCACUACUCUUCCAGUCUUGACUAUGGGAGGGAGAGUCAAGCAGAGGCAUAUCCAUUCCAUCCCUAGCUUGGGCAGUAGGUAGCCAGUGAAAGGCAAUCUGCUACAAGU